This 497-nucleotide ribosomal RNA is filed under the name uncultured bacterium. Its description in RNAcentral is "partial 16S ribosomal RNA". It matches the Rfam family "Bacterial small subunit ribosomal RNA", at positions 28 to 507 of the family's 1533-position model. The record is from RNAcentral.
GAUGAACGCUGGCGGCGUGCCUAAUACAUGCAAGUCGAGCGAACAGACGAGGAGCUUGCUCCUCUGACGUUAGCGGCGGACGGGUGAGUAACACGUGGAUAACCUACCUAUAAGACUGGGAUAACUUCGGGAAACCGGAGCUAAUACCGGAUAAUAUAUUGAACCGCAUGGUUCAAUAGUGAAAGACGGUUUUGCUGUCACUUAUAGAUGGAUCCGCGCCGCAUUAGCUAGUUGGUAAGGUAACGGCUUACCAAGGCAACGAUGCGUAGCCGACCUGAGAGGGGGAAUCGCCACAACUGAAACUAGAAAACGGCCAGAAUCCCUAGGGGAGGAGGAGGUGGGAAUAUUUGCGAAUGGGGGGAAGGCUGAACGAGGCAAAGCGGGGGGGGGAAUAAGGGUUUUCGGUUGGUAAAACCCUUUUUUAGGGAAGAACAAAUGUGUAAGUAACUAUGCACGUCUUGACGGUACCUAAUCAGAAAGCCACGGCUAACUACGUG